UCAACGCUAUUACAAACUAUGCUGUUGUAUGAAACUUGUAUUGUUCUGAGUCGAAAAUGUUUGUGAGAUGUCAACAAAGACUUUUGGCAAGUCUCAAUGACAGUUUAAUGAUAACUACAUUAUCAGUUAAGGCCACCUAUAGGCAAAUUCCGGUUUCAUGCUUACAGACCUGAUAUACAAUUCAGGACUUAUUCAAUCACAACCAUCACUGCAAUACCAAUUAACAAACAGACAUAUCGUACAACAAUCAUCAACUGGAACAUCAUCAAUUUGCAUAUAUAGAUAACAUAUCACAAGUACAGUCGCAAGAACAAUUAAUAUUAUACAGAAUAACACCAAACUAUAACGGAGGAUUUCAAUCGUUGGAUAAUACUGCAGAUGAAGUGAAAGAGGCAGGUGGCACAAGCAUUUUAAAUAUGAACAAAAUAAACAGUAUAAUUUUGAUUUGAGUCUCGAUCAACUUGAUUCGGCGGAACUCGCCGAUUUUGAAACUGCUUUUUCUGAACAUCUAUCCAGUGGAUUAUCUAUUUCAGAUUUUAUUACGUUGAAAACGAACAAAGAAACAAAUGCAGGACCAAGCAACACCGAAAAAAAUAACACUGCCGAUAAUUUUACAAGCAUUAUUAAUAACGCUAUUCAGGAACUGUGCACUUUAGAUAAUAUGUAUGAAUCAAUGCCAGAAACGAACGGAGUAAUAAACGCAGGACCAAGCAACAUGACUGAUAGGUACAUAAGUAUUACUAAUAAUAAUAUUCAGGAACUUUAAAUAAUAUGUGCAAAAUCAAAAGUGAAAAUUGACACAUUGAAGUGAAAUGUCAUUGUAUAAAAUGUUAUAUAAACAUUAUUCUCUAGACAAAAAUUUCUCUGUAUGAGUAUAUUAUGUAAUUAACAUUUAAUUGGUGGUGAUUAUAUUGCAGUAUAUUACUAUGUGAUCUUUUAAAAUACCUAUUCAAUUGUUACUCUGAAUAUUGUGGAUAUUUUUAUACAAUUUUUAAGAAUCACUGUUUUCAAUAUCAUGGUCGAAGAAUAUUUAUCGAUUAAGUCAUAUACAAAAUGUUAUGACUGUGAUCAAAGUAUAUAAUUGUAUAAUAUAAUAUAAUGUUGAUUUUAGAUUGUAUAUAAAUAAAAA
Long non-coding RNA from Bombus terrestris (buff-tailed bumblebee), 1129 nucleotides. RefSeq lists it as uncharacterized. The transcript has 3 exons. Lineage: Eukaryota; Metazoa; Arthropoda; Insecta; Hymenoptera; Apidae. The annotation marks the transcript as partial. The record is from RefSeq and is a predicted model, not a curated record.